RNAcentral lists this ribosomal RNA (383 nucleotides) under uncultured eukaryote. Its description in RNAcentral is "partial 18S ribosomal RNA". It matches the Rfam family "Eukaryotic small subunit ribosomal RNA", at positions 592 to 976 of the family's 1831-position model. The record is from RNAcentral.
CAAUAGCGUAUAUUAAAGUUGUUGCGGUUAAAAAGCUCGUAGUUGGAUCUCGGCAGGCAGGGGGUGGUUCGCUCUUAGCGCUACUGCCCCAUUUGCCUGUGUGAUUGGCAGAGGUUUCGGGGUGCUCUUCGUUGAGUGACCCGGGGCGCCGUCAGGUUUACUUUGAAAAAAUUAGAGUGCUCAAAGCAGGCUUUUCACGCUUGAAUAUUCGUGCAUGGAAUAAUGGAAUAGGAACUCGUUUCUAUUUUGUUGGUUUUCGGAAAUCGAGUUAAUGAUUAAUAGGGACAAUUGGGGGCAUUAGUAUUCAGACGACAGAGGUGAAAUUCUUGGACCGUCUGAAGACUAACUACUGCGAAAGCACUUGCCAAGAGUGUUUUCAUUAA